Molecule: small nucleolar RNA, 134 nt
Filed under: Leptosomus discolor (cuckoo roller)
Lineage: Eukaryota; Metazoa; Chordata; Aves; Leptosomiformes; Leptosomidae
Description: Small nucleolar RNA SNORA41
Rfam family: Small nucleolar RNA SNORA41
About the family: ACA41 is a member of the H/ACA class of snoRNA that guide the sites of modification of uridines to pseudouridines.
Source: Rfam by way of RNAcentral
CCCCACAGCUACUGGUCUGGAACUGUUCAGAACUGUAGCAGUUGCAGUAUUCCCUCUGUGGAAGAUAAACUGUUACAUGGUAUUAAGCUCCUUCUCAGAUCCUCUGGAAAGGACUCCCUAUGUAACGAACAUGG